GGUGGCCCUCGAAAUCCUGUGGCGGGAUCAUUCAGUCGGAGCGCUCUCGUCGCUCGCCUGGAAUACGCAGAACGGAAGGUUCCCGUGACCGGGGCCGUUCCGGCGCGGCGUUUCGUGGCGACCCGACGCAUUUGUUUCCCGCCCGAAGGACGCCGCAACCGGUUGGGUUAGAGACGGCCUUAAGGACGAGUACCGGCAGGUGGCCGGCGGCGCCGCCCCCGUGGCGCGCGUCUGCCGGUUGUUAGCCUUCUCCGUCACACGGCCCGUCCCCCGACCGUGGCAACAGAGAGGCCCCGAUUGGGCUUCGACGUCUCCUCCCCAUUUAGAGGGCUAGCGGGUGUAGAAGCGCGGCAGGAGCUCAAACGCGGCGCGGGCGCACGGACCGACUCCGUGGCCCUUGCGCCGCAUUGUCUUCGCUGGCUGCGCAUGACCCGCGGGAGUGCAUGACGGUUCGCGGCGAGUAGAUCGGUCACCCACCCGGCCCGUCUUGAAACACGGACCAAGGAGUGUAACAUGUGCGCGAGUCAAUGGGUCUCGAAUAAGCCCAGAGGCGCAAUGAAAGCGAAGGCCGGAGGACUCCGGCCGCGUCGGGAUCCCCGCCGCCUCGGCGCGCGGGGCGCACCGACGGCCCGCCCCGUUCCACUCGUGGAUGUGGCGGAGUCCGAGCGCACACGUUGCGACCCGAAAGAUGGUGAACUAUGCCCGGGCAGAACGAAGCCAGAGGAAACUCUGGUGGAGGUUCGUCGCGAUUCUGACGUGCAAAUCGAUCGUCAGAUCCAGGUCUAGGGGCGAAAGACUAAUCGAACCAUCU
Molecule: ribosomal RNA, 811 nt
Filed under: Troglohyphantes lucifer
Lineage: Eukaryota; Metazoa; Arthropoda; Arachnida; Araneae; Linyphiidae
Description: partial large subunit ribosomal RNA
Rfam family: Eukaryotic large subunit ribosomal RNA (bases 499-811)
Source: RNAcentral